CAUGCAGUCGACGCACUCGACCUUCGGGUCACAUGAGUGAGUGGCGAACGGGUGAGUAACACGUGAGAAACCUGUCCCGAAGACUGGAAUAACCCGAGGAAACUCGGACUAAUACCGGAUGCCCCCACCGGAUCACAUGAUCUGGUGAGGAAAUGCUCCGGCGCUUCGGGAGGGUCUCGCGGCCUAUCAGUUAGUUGGUGAGGUAACGGCUCACCAAGGCAUCGACGGGUAGCUGGUCUGAGAGGACGAUCAGCCACACUGGGACUGAGACACGGCCCAGACUCCUACGGGAGGCAGCAGUGGGGAAUCUUGCGCAAUGGGCGAAAGCCUGACGCAGCCACGCCGCGUGAGGGAUGAAGGCUUUCGGGUUGUAAACCUCUUUCAGCAGGGACGAAAAUGACGGUACCUGCAGAAGAAGCUCCGGCCAACUACGUGCCAGCAGCCGCGGUAACACGUAGGGAGCAAGCGUUGUCCGGAUUUAUUGGGCGUAAAGAGCUCGUAGGCGGUUCGGUAAGUCGGGUGUGAAAACUUGAGGCUCAACCUCAAGAGGCCACUCGAUACUGCUGUGACUGGAGUCCGGUAGAGGAGUGUGGAAUUCCUGGUGUAGCGGUGAAAUGCGCAGAUAUCAGGAGGAACACCGACAGCGAAGGCAGCACUCUGGGCCGGUACUGACGCUGAGGAGCGAAAGCAUGGGGAGCGAACAGGAUUAGAUACCCUGGUAGUCCAUGCCGUAACGUUGGGCACUAGGUGUGGGGUCUAGCUAACAGAUUCCGUGCCGCAGCUAACGCAUUAAGUGCCCC
Molecule: ribosomal RNA, 800 nt
Filed under: actinobacterium SCGC AAA001-B19
Lineage: Bacteria; Bacillati; Actinomycetota; Actinomycetes
Description: SSU rRNA
Rfam family: Bacterial small subunit ribosomal RNA
Source: RNAcentral